GACGAACGCUGGCGGCGUGCUUAACACAUGCAAGUCGAACGGAAAGGCCCUGCUUUUGUGGGGUUCUCGAGUGGCGAACGGGUGAGUAACACGUGAGUAACCUGCCCUUGACUUUGGGAUAACUUCAGGAAACUGGGGCUAAUACCGGAUAGGAGCUCCUGCUGCAUGGUGGGGGUUGGAAAGUUUCGGCGGUUGGGGAUGGACUCGCGGCUUAUCAGCUUGUUGGUGGGGUAGUGGCUUACCAAGGCUUUGACGGGUAGCCGGCCUGAGAGGGUGACCGGCCACACUGGGACUGAGAGACGGCACAGACGCCUAAGGGAGGCAGAAGUGGGGAAUAUUGCACAAUGGGCGGAAGCCGGAUGCAGCAACGCCGCGUGCGGGAUGACGGCCUUCGGGUUGUAAACCGCUUUCGCCUGUGACGAAGCGUGAGUGACGGUAAUGGGUAAAGAAGCACCGGCUAACUACGUG
This 468-nucleotide ribosomal RNA is filed under the name uncultured bacterium. RNAcentral describes it as "partial 16S ribosomal RNA". It matches the Rfam family "Bacterial small subunit ribosomal RNA", at positions 28 to 507 of the family's 1533-position model. The record is from RNAcentral.